This 482-nucleotide ribosomal RNA is filed under the name uncultured bacterium. RNAcentral's name for it is "partial 16S ribosomal RNA". It matches the Rfam family "Bacterial small subunit ribosomal RNA", at positions 28 to 523 of the family's 1533-position model. The record is from RNAcentral.
GACGAACGCUGGCGGCGUGCUUAACACAUGCAAGUCGAACGGAAAGGCCCAGCUUGCUGGGUACUCGAGUGGCGAACGGGUGAGUAACACGUGGGUGAUCUGCCCUGCACUCUGGGAUAAGCCUGGGAAACUGGGUCUAAUACCGGAUAUGAUCAACUGUCGCAUGGUGGUUGGUGGAAAGCUUUUGCGGUGUGGGAUGGGCCCGCGGCCUAUCAGCUUGUUGGUGGGGUAAUGGCCUACCAAGGCGACGACGGGUAGCCGACCUGAGAGGGGGAUCGGGCACACUGGGACGGAGACACGGCCCAGACUCCUGCGGGAGGCAGCAGUGGGGAAUAUUGAACAAUGGGCGCAAGCCUGAUGCAGCGACGCCGCGUGAGGGAUGACGGGCUUCGGGUUGUAAACCUCUUUCACCAGGGACGAAGCGUGAGUGACGGUACCUGGAGAAGAAGCACCGGCCAACUACGUGCCAACAGCCGCCGCGG